UCCGACCAUAUCUCGUUGAAACAUCGGUUCUCGUACGAUCUACGAAGUUGAGCAGCGUUGAACAUAGUCAGUAGCUAAAUGGGUGGUCUCUUGGGAAUACUAGGUGCUGUAA
Acanthosepion pharaonis is the source of this 112-nucleotide non-coding RNA. The record is from the annotation of a GenBank genome assembly. NCBI's taxonomy places the organism in Eukaryota, Metazoa, Mollusca, Cephalopoda, Sepiida, Sepiidae.